This is a microRNA precursor of Caenorhabditis briggsae, 80 nucleotides long. It matches the Rfam family "mir-252 microRNA precursor family". Lineage: Eukaryota; Metazoa; Nematoda; Chromadorea; Rhabditida; Rhabditidae. The record is from Rfam.
UCCCAGUUAUAAGUAGUAGUGCCGCAGGUAACCGCUUCCAGAAAAUUGGUUUACCUACUGCCUUCUGCUUAGAAUUGGGA